RNAcentral lists this transfer RNA (88 nucleotides) under Pseudomonadota bacterium. Its description in RNAcentral is "Proteobacteria bacterium tRNA-Ser". It matches the Rfam family "tRNA". From Rfam's summary of the family: Transfer RNA (tRNA) molecules are approximately 80 nucleotides in length. Lineage: Bacteria; Pseudomonadati; Pseudomonadota. RNAcentral also lists the same sequence under 7 other names. The record is from RNAcentral.
GGAGGGAUGGCUGAGUGGUUGAAAGCGGCGGUCUUGAAAACCGUUGAGUGUAACAGCUCCGUGGGUUCGAAUCCUACUCCCUCCGCCA